AGAGUUGAUCCUGGCUUAGGACGAACGCUGGCGGCGUGCUUAACACAUGCAAGUCGAACGAAGCGACAGUGAAGGAGGCUUCGGCCAAUGGAUCUGUCGACUUAGUGGCGGACGGGUGAGUAACGCGUGAGCAACCUGCCUUCAGAGGGGGAUAACGUUUGGAAACGAACGCUAAUACCGCAUAAUGUAAUUCCGCUGCAUGACGGGAUUACCAAAGGAGCAAUCCGCUGAAAGAUGGGCUCGCGUCCGAUUAGAUAGUUGGUGGGGUAACGGCCUACCAAGUCGACGAUCGGUAGCCGGACUGAGAGGUUGAACGGCCACAUUGGGACUGAGACACGGCCCAGACUCCUACGGGAGGCAGCAGUGGGGAAUAUUGCACAAUGGGCGCAAGCCUGAUUGCAGCAACGCCGCGUGAGGGAAGACGGUUUUCGGAUUGUAAACCUCUGUCCUUGGUGAAGAUCAUGACGGUAGCCGAGGAGGAAGCCACGGCUAACUACGUGCCAGCAGCCGC
This 511-nucleotide ribosomal RNA is filed under the name uncultured bacterium. RNAcentral describes it as "bacterial SSU rRNA". It matches the Rfam family "Bacterial small subunit ribosomal RNA", at positions 8 to 518 of the family's 1533-position model. The record is from RNAcentral.